CUCUCAAUUGAGAGAGUAGCUUUGAUUUACAUCAAAGCUAUCAUGCGUAUGAACCAAAAAACUCCUCUAUUAUUCCAAUCUCAGACCUUCAAAUUCCUUUGCUUAGAAAAUCAACUCUCAAUUAUAACAAAAUUCCUCCUACUCUCUAGUAAGGGUCGCAAAUUCGGUGAUUGGUAGAUUGAAGGAGAUAGCUAAGUUUCAAGUAUUAUAUUAUCAUCUGAAAUCAGCAAUCAAAAGGUAUUAUUAUCUUUUUAUGCUCUAAAAGAAAUUAGGGCUAUGUGAAGAAAUUAGGGCUAUGUGUUAAUUGAUACAUGUGAUUGAAAGUUAUGUGACUACAUGACUAUUUAAUUUGCGAGAAUUUAUUGCUAUAAAAUUUGGGGUUGGACAUACUGAAUUUUUGAGUUAACAUACAUGAAUAUUUAAUGAUUUGCUUGAUUGAGGAUUUGUAAUUAUAUGUAGGUAUGUAAAUAAUGAUUUUCAAGACUAACUGCUAUGCAUGAUUCUUGUUCAACUAUUUAACUGUUAUGUAUUAAAUUUAGGCAGGAGGAGUUAUUAUGGAGUAAUAAGGAUGUUAUUAUGGGUUUUUGGUGUAAACGAAUGGCUGUGAAAUUGGUAACACAAAACUAUGCACACCACAUGUUUGACAAAAGUCCCAAGUGGACUGUUUUGGCUAAAAAUCGAAUAUAAGAAGAAAGUAAAGCUUGAGCUAGGUAUGAAUACCAUAUAUGAUGAUAGAUAAACAUUUUUGGUGUACUAGAUGAAAACAAAAUCCAAUAUCAAGCCAAAAUGAAAAGUUGAAAACUAGUGCGUCAAGCUAUUCUUGACCACUAUUUUGAGCAACUUAAUUAUUCCAAAAUGGGGAGUUUAUACUCUAUAAUAGCAGCCUUGUAUGCAAUGUAUAAUAUACUUUUAAAAUUUGUUGUUGUUCGUGAAUGAAUCAAAAGUUAUUAGAUUGUUAAGUGUCUAGUUUGGAGCAAGGUUGCUGCCCACGGCAGCAGCAGUCACCAUGAUAGUCAAUGACUGGGGGCUUCCUUGGCACUCAGUCAGCCCAUUUUAACUACCCAAACUUGCCCAACUAAUAUAUCUCAAUAUUAAGUAAAUGUCUCAUCUAUGGUAGCUUCAAAAUUCAACUCAACCAAACAAAGAAUGUUGAAAUAAAAGUGUAGCAAAUCAUAGACCAAAGAAAAGAAGUGGCAGCAGUUGGUACCAGCAGCAAAUAGCUGUAGUUGGAAGUGCUUGGAUGAGCCAUUUUUGGCUUUUUGGUGUAGUUUAAAAGCUUAACCAUCAAGCUCAAAUUUUAAAUCCUAAAUAAGCAAGUGUGUGAAAUUUAUAACAAAACAAUAAUUCAUCUAGAUGGGUAAAGUAAAAGAUAAAAAAUUGGCAGCAACAAUUUGCUGCGAAUAGCAGCAAGAAGCUACUAUAG
This 1423-nucleotide long non-coding RNA is filed under the name Panax ginseng (ginseng). RNAcentral describes it as "long non-coding RNA (PGIN_LNC011537)". The record is from RNAcentral. Lineage: Eukaryota; Viridiplantae; Streptophyta; Magnoliopsida; Apiales; Araliaceae.